GUUGAACGCUGGCGGCGGGCCUAAUACAUGCAAGUCGAGCGAACAGACGAGGAACUUUCUCCCCUGACGUUAGCGUCGCACGGGUGAGUAACACGUGGAUAACCUACCUAUAAGACUGGGAUUACUUCGUGAAACCGGAGCUAAUACCGGAUAAUAUAUUGAACCGCAUGGUUCAAUAGUGAAAGACGGUUUUGCUGUCACUUAUAGAUGGAUCCGCGCGGCUUUAGCUAGUUGGUAAGGUAACGGCUUACCAAGGCGACGAUGCGUAGCCGACCUGAGAGGGUGAUCGGCCACACUGGAACUGAGACACGGUCCAGACUCCUACGGGAGGCAGCAGUAGGGAAUCUUCCGCAAUGGGCGAAAGCCUGACGGAGCAAUGCCGCGUGAAUGAUGAAGGUCUUCGGAUCGUAAAACUCUGUUAUCAGGGAAGAACAAAUGUGUAAGUAACUAUGCACGUAUUGACGUUACCUAAUCAGAAAGCAACGGCUAACUACGUG
This 497-nucleotide ribosomal RNA is filed under the name uncultured bacterium. Its description in RNAcentral is "partial 16S ribosomal RNA". It matches the Rfam family "Bacterial small subunit ribosomal RNA", at positions 28 to 507 of the family's 1533-position model. The record is from RNAcentral.